CAAUAGCGUAUAUUAAAGUUGUUGCAGUUAAAACGCUCGUAGUCGGAUUUCGGGGCGGGCCGACCGGUCUGCCGUUGGGUAUGCACUGGCCGGCGCGUCCUUCCUUCCGGAGACCGUGCCUUCUCUUAACUGGGCGGGUUCGGGAGACGGAACGUUUACUUUGAAAAAUCAGAGUGUUUCAAGCAGGCAGCUCGCUCUUGCAUGGAUUAGCAUGGGAUAAUGAAAUAGGACUUUGGUGCUAUUUUGUUGGUUUCGAACACCGAAGUAAUGAUUAACAGGGACAGUUGGGGGCAUUAGUAUUUAAUUGUCAGAGGUGAAAUUCUUGGAUUUAUGAAAGACUAACUACUGCGAAAGCAUUUGCCAAGGAUGUUUUCACUGAUCAAGAACGAAAGUUAGGGGAUCGAAGAUGAUC
Molecule: ribosomal RNA, 412 nt
Filed under: uncultured eukaryote
Lineage: Eukaryota
Description: bacterial SSU rRNA
Rfam family: Eukaryotic small subunit ribosomal RNA
Source: RNAcentral